This 255-nucleotide ribosomal RNA is filed under the name Campylobacter jejuni. RNAcentral's name for it is "partial 23S ribosomal RNA". It matches the Rfam family "Bacterial large subunit ribosomal RNA", at positions 937 to 1192 of the family's 2925-position model. The record is from RNAcentral. Lineage: Bacteria; Pseudomonadati; Campylobacterota; Epsilonproteobacteria; Campylobacterales; Campylobacteraceae.
UACCAAACCCUAGCAGACUCCGAAGACCUUAUAUGUAAUCACAGCAGUCAGGCGGCGAGUGAUAAAAUCCGUCGUCAAGAGGGAAACAACCCAGACUACCAGCUAAGGUCCCUAAGUCUUGCUUAAGUGGAAAACGAUGUGAAGUUACUUAAGCAACCAGGAGGUUGGCUUAGAAGCAGCCAUCCUUUAAAGAAAGCGUAAUGGCUCGCUGGUCUAGUGAUUUUGCGCGGAAGAUAUAACGGGGCUAAAGUAAGU